RNAcentral lists this ribosomal RNA (468 nucleotides) under uncultured bacterium. RNAcentral describes it as "partial 16S ribosomal RNA". It matches the Rfam family "Bacterial small subunit ribosomal RNA", at positions 28 to 507 of the family's 1533-position model. The record is from RNAcentral.
GACGAACGCUGGCGGCGUGCUUAACACAUGCAAGUCGAACGGAAAGGCCCUGCUUUUGUGGGGUGCUCGAGUGGCGAACGGGUGAGUAACACGUGAGUAACCUGCCCUUGACUUUGGGAUAACUUCAGGAAAAUGGGGCUAAUACCGGAUAGGAGAUCCUGCUGCAUGGGGGGGGAUGGAAAGUUUCGGCGGUUGGGGAUGGACUCGCGGCUUAUCAGCUUGUUGGGGGGGUAGUGGCUUACCAAGGCUUUGACGGGUAGCCGGCCUGAGAGGGUGAACGGCCACAAUGGUACUGAGAUACGGCCCAGACUCCUACGGGAGGCAGCAGUGGGGAAUAUUGCACAAUGGGCGGAAGCCUGAUGCAGCAACCCCGCGUGCGGGAUGACGGCCUUCGGGUUGUAAACCGCUUUCGCCUGUGACGAAGCGUGAGUGACGGUAAUGGGUAAAGAAGCACCGGCUAACUACGUG